UACGUAGGGGGCAAGCGUUGUCCGGAAUUAUUGGGCGUAAAGAGCGUGUAGGCGGUCCGGUAAGUCAGCUGUGAAAGUCAAGGGCUCAACCCUUGAAAGCCGGUUGAUACUGUCGGGCUAGAGUCCGGAAGAGGCGAGUGGAAUUCCCGGUGUAGCGGUGAAAUGCGCAGAUAUCGGGAGGAACACCAAUGGCGAAGGCAGCUCGCUGGGACGGUACUGACGCUGAGGCACGAAAGCGUGGGUAGCAAACCGG
RNAcentral lists this ribosomal RNA (253 nucleotides) under uncultured bacterium. Its description in RNAcentral is "partial 16S ribosomal RNA". It matches the Rfam family "Bacterial small subunit ribosomal RNA", at positions 524 to 776 of the family's 1533-position model. The record is from RNAcentral.